UCGAAGCGGCAGUUGAACGCGGGAACGAAACUUCUUUUUUCAGUUUAACCAACAUCAGCCAGCCCCAUCAUGGACCUGACGAACUUGCGGUGUCAAGUGUAUGGAAUAGUCUUCAGCAUUGCCAUUUUCUUGAUCGUGUUACUUUUAUGUGAGCGCUUGAUUGUGCGCUACAUCCCAAAGGCAAUUGUUAAAAUCUUGGGACGCGAAGAGUUCGAAAAAGGCCGAACUUCUAAAAAAACUGUGACUUAGGCGGAGUAAUUUUUUAGAAUAGAACAAAGGCAGAGGUGAGAAUCAUCCCGAGCACGUUUGAAUUCGUAGCUGCGCUGAGAACAAUAAUUUUGUUGAUCUGAGUUUUUUGUUGGUCAAACUACUGGUCUCACAGGGAAUGUCAGAAUUUUUUGGUUCUCCACUGUCUCUGCGCACUCGGCAAUGUGAAAUCGGAUGAAAAAACAUUUUUUGUUAAUUGCACCAAUGAUGCUUACAAAUUAAAAGUUCACAUUCUUUUUUUCAUGAAAAUAAUAUUGUUUUUUUCUCAAACUACUAAAAAUAUUAUUAAAAUUACGGGUUAGCAACUACCGCUUUGAGUUUCCAAAUGUAUUGUGUACACAUUUGAAAAAAUCUCUGAAAAUGAAAUUUCGAGUAACUGUUCGUGGACGAGACUGCAUAUAAAUUGAAAUUGAAUGAAAAUUUUGAUUUUUGAUUAAUUCGAAUGAAAAUAGAAUAUUAAUUUUGACAAAAAUUUAUUAAAUUUGAUUCAGUACGAUUGAAAAUUUCCAAAAUAAUUUUCAACUCGCCGAGACCAUCUUGGGCUGUUUGAAAAUUUGACAGGCUCCCACUACAUUUGAGUUGUCAUUAGGAAACGUCAGGGUCAAAAAAUCUUUCAACACUUUUCUGAGUCAUCCGAUCAAGCUCGUCUAAUUAGCGAUUCGAGGUCAGGUUCCGGCGGAUUUUUCUUGGAAUUGACGUAUCUCCUCUUAGAAUUAUAAUUCAGUGAAAAAAUAAAACGAAAAAAAUCGAAUAGGAGGAACAUUCGAGGAGAAGGAAAGUUCCAGGGGACUGUUGAAAAUUUCAGGCUCUGAGAAACUUGUAAACAGUGUUAUUUGAAGCUUCUCUGAAACGUCCCUUCAUUUCCACCGCUGUAUAGUCGACGAAAGCCUGUUGAAGUCGUGCAGACAGCCAAGAUGAUGGAGCGAAUUACAGGAGUGCGCAUGCCAAAUUAUUCAGGAAAUCGAAUUAAUACAAUGAGGACGCAGGAGGAAACAAGUUCAAUACCGAAUAUGGAUUUGAAACUAUUUUAUGGAAGCACCGUCAUUGUCUUGCUAUUGCUAAUAAUCCUCGUCUUCUCCAUGCGACCAAAAUUUUUUGGUUUCUCCUCGCACGAAGAGAAAUUUUCAUCGCUAUUCUUAUAUGACACUGACUCUCCGUCCUGUAAAGCCACCACUAUCGUAAUAACUAAAAAUGAUGACGAAUUUUUCGACAAUUACUACAAUAAAUACUGUCACCCGUGGCUAUAACGUAAAUUAUUUAAUAUAGACAAGAAAAAAUAGUACAUUACAAUACGUGUGACUUAGAGUAUGGAUCAGUCGACUAACCUCACUUGGAAUUUUCGAAAUCGAAAUUCUUUGACACAGUUUGACUGAUUAAAAAAAAGGCUCUGUCAGCUUACGCAGAACGAUGGCAAAAAUCGACUGACAGAGCCUUUUUUUAAUCGGUCAAACUGUGCCAAAGAAUUUCGAUUUCGAAAUUUGCAGCUAUCUCUCUCGCACUCACGGUGGCGAGAUAGCGACUGCUCCAUCACCUUAAUUUAAGAGUAUCGUAUACUAUUUUAUAGCCCGUAUGACAUAAGACGCAAAAGCGUAACUAAAAUACGGGUUUAGGUCAUGCGGCGUUAUAAAAACAAUUUUUAAUUAUUGUAAUAAAAUUCAUUAAAAAGUAUACUGCAAAUCCUUCGAGGCUGAAAUAAAAUGACCUCUUCGAAUCCAAAAA
This 1986-nucleotide long non-coding RNA is filed under the name Venturia canescens. Its description in RNAcentral is "uncharacterized LOC122417952, transcript variant X6". Lineage: Eukaryota; Metazoa; Arthropoda; Insecta; Hymenoptera; Ichneumonidae. The record is from RNAcentral.